GUGAACGCUGGCGGUAGGCCUAACCCAUGCCAGUCGAACGGCAGCACAGUAAGAGCUUGCUCUUACGGGUGGCGAGUGGCGGACGGGUGAGGAAUACAUCGGAAUCUACUUUUUCGUGGGGGAUAACGUAGGGAAACUUACACUAAUACCGCAUACGACCUACGGGUGAAAGCAGGGGAUCUUCGGACCUUGCGCGAUUGAAUGAGCCGAUGUCGGAUUAGCUAGUUGGCGGGGUAAAGGCCCACCAAGGCGACGAUCCGUAGCUGGUCUGAGAGGAUGAUCAGCCACACUGGAACUGAGACACGGUCCAGACUCCUACGGGAGGCAGCAGUGGGGAAUAUUGGACAAUGGGCGCAAGCCUGAUCCAGCCAUACCGCGUGGGUGAAGAAGGCCUUCGGGUUGUAAAGCCCUUUUGUUGGGAAAGAAAAGCAGCAGGUUAAUACCCCGCUGUUCUGACGGUACCCAAAGAAUAAGCACCGGCUAACUUCGUG
This 491-nucleotide ribosomal RNA is filed under the name uncultured bacterium. RNAcentral's name for it is "partial 16S ribosomal RNA". It matches the Rfam family "Bacterial small subunit ribosomal RNA", at positions 29 to 507 of the family's 1533-position model. The record is from RNAcentral.